Molecule: ribosomal RNA, 254 nt
Filed under: uncultured bacterium
Lineage: Bacteria
Description: partial 16S ribosomal RNA
Rfam family: Bacterial small subunit ribosomal RNA
Source: RNAcentral
UACAGAGGUCUCAAGCGUUGUUCGGAUUCAUUGGGCGUAAAGGGUGCGUAGGCGGCGCGGUAAGUCGGGUGUGAAAUCUCGGAGCUUAACUCCGAAACUGCAUUCGAUACUGCCGUGCUUGAGGACUGGAGAGGAGACUGGAAUUUACGGUGUAGCGGUGAAAUGCGUAGAUAUCGUAAGGAACACCGGUGGCGAAGGCGGCAUCCUGGACCAACACUGACGCUGAGUGAGCGAAAGCCAGGGGAGCAAACGGG